CCUACGGGAGGCAGCAGUGAGGAAUAUUGGACAAUGGGUGAGAGCCUGAUCCAGCCAUCCCGCGUGCAGGAAGACGGCCCUAUGGGUUGUAAACUGCUUUUAUAUGGGAAUAAACCACCUUUCGUGAAGGGUGUGAAGGUACCAAGAAAA
Molecule: ribosomal RNA, 150 nt
Filed under: uncultured bacterium
Lineage: Bacteria
Description: partial 16S ribosomal RNA
Rfam family: Bacterial small subunit ribosomal RNA
Source: RNAcentral